This 253-nucleotide ribosomal RNA is filed under the name uncultured bacterium. RNAcentral's name for it is "partial 16S ribosomal RNA". It matches the Rfam family "Bacterial small subunit ribosomal RNA", at positions 524 to 776 of the family's 1533-position model. The record is from RNAcentral.
UACGUAGGGGGCGAGCGUUGUCCGGAGUUACUGGGCGUAAAGGGCAUGCAGGCGGUCGGACGCGUUUCGGGUGACAGCGGGUGGCUUAACUACCCGAGUGGUCGAAAGACGGUUUGACUUGAGGACGCGAGAGGGACACGGAAUUCCGAGUGUAGAGGUGAAAUUCGUAGAUAUUCGGAAGAACACCAGUGGCGAAGGCGACUCACUGGACAACUGUUGACGCUGAGGUGCGAAAGCGUGGGGAGCAAACAGG